UACGUAGGGUGCGAGCGUUAAUCGGAAUUACUGGGCGUAAAGCGUGCGCAGGCGGUCUGUUAAGACCGAUGUGAAAAUCCCCCGGGGCUUAACCUGGGAACUGCAUUGGUGACUGGCAGGCUUUGAGUGUGGCAGAGGGAGGUAGAAUUCCACGUGUAGCAGUGAAAUGCGUAGAGAUGUGGAGGAAUACCGAUGGCGAAGGCAGCCUCCUGGGCCAACACUGACGCUCAUGCACGAAAGCGUGGGGAGCAAACAGG
This 257-nucleotide ribosomal RNA is filed under the name uncultured bacterium. RNAcentral's name for it is "partial 16S ribosomal RNA". It matches the Rfam family "Bacterial small subunit ribosomal RNA", at positions 524 to 776 of the family's 1533-position model. The record is from RNAcentral.